UGACGCAGCAACGCCGCGUGAAGGAUGAAGGUCUUCGGAUUGUAAACUUCUUUUAUUAAGGACGAAGAAUGACGGUACUUAAUGAAUAAGCUCCGGCUAACUACGUGCCAGCAGCCGCGGUAAUACGUAGGGAGCAAGCGUUGUCCGGAUUUACUGGGUGUAAAGGGUGCGUAGGCGGCAAAGCAAGUCAGAUGUGAAAUGUAUGGGCUCAACCCAUGAACUGCAUUUGAAACUGCAUUGCUUGAGUGAAGUAGAGGCAGGCGGAAUUCCCUGUGUAGCGGUGAAAUGCGUAGAGAUAGGGAGGAACACCAGUGGCGAAGGCGGCCUGCUGGGCUUUAACUGACGCUGAGGCACGAAAGCGUGGGUAGCAAACAGGAUUAGAUACCCUGGUAGUCCACGCUGUAAACGAUGAUUACUAGGUGUGGGGGGUCUGACCCCUUCCGUGCCGCAGUUAACACAAUAAGUAAUCCACCCGGGGAGUACGGCCGCAAGGUUGAAACUCAAAGGAAUUGACGGGGGCCCGCACAAGCAGUGGAGUAUGUGGUUUAAUUCGAAGCAACGCGAAGAACCUUACCAGGUCUUGACAUCGAGUGACGUACUUAGAGAUAAGUAUUUCCUUCGGGACACGAAGACAGGUGGUGCAUGGUUGUCGUCAGCUCGUGUCGUGAGAUGUUGGGUUAAGUCCCGCAACGAGCGCAACCCUUGCUAUUAGUUGCUACGCAAGAGCACUCUAAUAGGACUGCCGUUGACAAAACGGAGGAAGGUGGGGACGACGUCAAAUCAUCAUGCCCCUUAUGACCUGGGCUACACACGUACUACAAUGGCCGUCAACAGAGGGAAGCAAGAUAGUGAUAUGGAGCAAACCCCUAAAAACGGUCUCAGUUCAGAUUGCAGGCUGCAACCCGCCUGCAUGAAGAUGAAUUGCUAGUAAU
RNAcentral lists this ribosomal RNA (932 nucleotides) under uncultured bacterium. RNAcentral describes it as "bacterial SSU rRNA". It matches the Rfam family "Bacterial small subunit ribosomal RNA", at positions 384 to 1342 of the family's 1533-position model. The record is from RNAcentral.